AACGAACGCUGGCGGCAUGCCUAACACAUGCAAGUCGAACGAGACCUUCGGGUCUAGUGGCGCACGGGUGCGUAACGCGUGGGAACCUGCCCUUAGGUUCGGAAUAACUCCCCGAAAGGGGUGCUAAUACCGGAUAAUUUCUUCGGACCAAAGAUUUAUCGCCUUUGGGUGGGCCCGCGUUGGAUUAGCGAGUUGGUAGGGUAAAAGCCUACCAAGGCGGCGAUCCAUAGCUGGUCUGAGAGGAUGAUCAGCCACACUGGGACAGGGACACGGCCCAGACGCCAGGGGGGGGGGGGGGAGGGGAAAAUUGGAAAGGGGGCCAAAGCCUGAACCGCCAAGGCCGGGAGGAUGGUGAGGGGGUUGGGGUUGUAAAGCUCUUUUACCGGAGAUAAUAUGACGGGACCGGGAGAAAAAGGACCGGCUAACUACGUG
This 432-nucleotide ribosomal RNA is filed under the name uncultured bacterium. Its description in RNAcentral is "partial 16S ribosomal RNA". It matches the Rfam family "Bacterial small subunit ribosomal RNA", at positions 29 to 507 of the family's 1533-position model. The record is from RNAcentral.